This 268-nucleotide ribosomal RNA is filed under the name unidentified gamma proteobacterium groupD. Its description in RNAcentral is "partial 16S small subunit ribosomal RNA". It matches the Rfam family "Bacterial small subunit ribosomal RNA", at positions 1106 to 1373 of the family's 1533-position model. Lineage: Bacteria; Pseudomonadati; Pseudomonadota; Gammaproteobacteria. The record is from RNAcentral.
UAUCCUUAUUUGCCAGCGCGUUAUGGCAGGAAGUGUAAGGAGACUGCCGGUGAUAAACCGGAGGAAGGUGGGGACGACGUCAAGUCAUCAUGGCCCUUACGGGAUGGGCUACACACGUGCUACAAUGGCAGGUACAGAGGGCAGCAAUACCGCGAGGUGGAGCGAAUCCCACAAAGCUUGUCGUAGUCCGGAUUGGAGUCUGCAACUCGACUCCAUGAAGUCGGAAUCGCUAGUAAUCGUAGAUCAGAAUGCUACGGUGAAUACGUUC